CAUGAUAGGAUUCAAUGCCAAGCUGAUGGCAAGUGGUAUCCGCAGCUACCCGUUUGUGACCUAGAGACUCAGUGUCCAGUCCCACAUAUUCAACAUGGAAGCCUGAAAUCUCCACUUCCACAUAACUAUACAUACAGAACCAGUGUAACGUUUCAGUGUGAUCCUGGUUACAUCCUCAGGGGCGCUGAUAAGAUUCAAUGCCAAGCUGAUGGCAAGUGGUAUCCACAGCUACCCGUUUGUGGCCCAGGUUCUGUGCUGAACACAGCUGGCAUCUCUACUGAGUCUGAAGUUAAAGAUAUAAUUACCCAGGGCAAACCCACAACUGUCCCUCUCGAAGGAGCAGAAAUAACUGGUACUUCCUCAGAUUUUGUGCUGAACCCAGCUGGCAACUCUGCUGAACCUGAAGGUGAAGGUGAGGUACUGCGGGGAGAGAGAAACACUUGAGCUGUUAGACUGGGUAGCGCAAUGCGUGUGGUGAGCAGGGAAGCCUGGCUGUAGGGAGCUUCACAACUGGAACUGGCCACAUCCUUUCAAUUGUUUUUCAAAUCUAUCACACUAAGGAAUCCCUGAAUGUUGCUGAUCCAUGUGGCUGAAUUAUGUGCAUGAGAUUGGAAUCGCAUUGAAUUUUUGCCAAAAAU
This 638-nucleotide long non-coding RNA is filed under the name Chrysemys picta bellii (western painted turtle). RNAcentral describes it as "lncRNA (ENSCPBG00000022662.1)". Lineage: Eukaryota; Metazoa; Chordata; Testudines; Emydidae. The record is from RNAcentral.